This is a long non-coding RNA of Amphiprion ocellaris (clown anemonefish), 2522 nucleotides long. NCBI's taxonomy places the organism in Eukaryota, Metazoa, Chordata, Actinopteri, Pomacentridae. The record is from Ensembl.
CUAGCGUUCUUCAAGCGCGCACCGUCAAACGGCUGCCCGGAGUCCCGCAGCCGAAACCCGCAAUCCCGCCGCGUUGUCCUGCUUAUUCUUUACCGUGUGAAGGUAGAAGAAAUGAUCGGUUUCUCCCGACGGAGGAUGGCGGUGCGGCUACUCACCGUGUCCAGGUUUGUUGGGAGCCCGCCGGGCUGCCCUCUUCGCUGCUAAUGUUAGCACACUAGCAGGCUAAACACAACAACCCGCUCCGUGUGCGGAGGGUUGGUGCGCUUUUAUCGCUCUGCGCUGCGGUGAAACGGGUGAGUGAUGUGCGUACUUUUAUUCCAAAUUCGCUAAACACUCCGAUUAGGCGCCACUACCGCCUGUCGGGCUCCUUCGGGCCUGUUUACUGCGGAAAGUUAGCGAGAGGCGGUCGCUACCAGGCUGGAUGUUAUGGAUGUAGCCUCUUUCUUCUUCUGGGGAUAUUUGCGGCAGACGGCACACAGUAGAGGCGCCCUGCUGCCUCCACAGGUCAUUUGUAGAACGCCGUUCACAGAUUAAUCCUUAUGUUUUGGCAGCCCAUUCUGUAGUAGAUAAUUUUCUGGUUGCACCAUAUAUAAUUUCCCCCGAUAGGAUAUAUAAUCUUAUAGACGGAAAAAAAAUCCUCUGGUUUGUUUGAAUUUAUUUAAACCAAUCGCACUUGUCACUGGCGGGCUAAAUGAAGGAUGCAGCUUCAGUGUUCCCUCAAAAUAGUGAUGGUUUGAAUAGUUGUGGUGGAAUAUUUACAUGCAGGGAGGUGAGCACUAUGAUUAAAAUUGAUAAUUCUCUGAGAAAACCUAGGAGAGCUGCCUUACUGCAUGAGCCAAAUCCUGGGGAAAACUUGAAAUUUUGACUGUGGUAGGUUGUUGUUAUACAACCUACAUCUGGCAUGUCAGACACAGUUCCACUGACACAGGUAUGUCCAGUACAGUUGAGGAACUCAGUUACAGAUUUUGUUGCUUCACGAAGUGAUUUUAAAACAGCCCACAAAAUGUGUGAUGCUGAGAGGUAAUGAAGUUGUUGAUCCUGCGUGUGGAAUGUUGUCCCACUUGGCCUGAGGGGCUUGGAGGACAUUGUGAGGGACAAAAUCACUUUGUCUGGACAAGUCCAUCCAGAGCAUCAAGUGGCAGGUUGUCUGUCGUAUCACAGUGCCUGAUUGAUACAGUGGAGGUGUGGACAUCCAGGUGUCUUGUUAUGGUUCUGACUGACAUCCAGCAGCCAACAACCUGUUCUCAUUUUUUUUUUUUUUGUCAUCUGUAACACCAUGUUAUUUUAUUAAAUCUGCAUUUAAAGGUGGUGUUUAUUAGUCAAAGUGAUCACGAGUGUCUGUGUACUGGUCACAUUCUCUGAUCAUUGUUGUUUAGAGCUAAACCUGACAGGUUGUGGAUGAACUCAGCAGUUGAGAAGUUGUCUCCAAUUAUUAAGCAGCUGAAACACCUUUUGUGCAGUUUCUUACGAACUAUAACAACAGAAGUGUGUUUUUUACCUUCGUCUGAAAUCGAGAAGAAAGCCUACAGCAGACGGCUUUUAUAUUUUUGUUUAUUGUACUUUAUGUUGAAAGUCUUGACAAGAAGUUCGGUCUUCUUCUUCGCUGCUAGCUACGUUAGCCUCUUAGCCGUUAGCCCCUUAGCUGUUAGCAUCCCGACUGUCAGAAAGUUAAACCGGAGCGACUUUUACCUUCUUCUCUCGGAGAUUCUCGCGACUCUUCGCCUCCUGCCGUGCACCAGGUGUACCCAGGUGUUCACCUGUCGAGGACGCGGUUUAAAACUCUUAUUUUCGGGUUUUAUCUGGUACAAGUAUGGCGGCCCCGCGACACCGGAGGUGGAAGCGGAGUGAGUUAACCUCCCCGUGGGCGGGCUCCCUGAGAACAGCGGGGGAACCGACCUGAGGUCAGUAUGAGCUGCAGAUUCAUCGGCAGAGGGAUAGCAGCGUCCGGACAGAAACUGACUGCAAAUCAGCCAACACAAGUCCCGCCCGCUCCGAGUCUGUUGUUGAUUCAAAACAUGGGAAUUUAGCUCCGAUGAAAACUACCAUGUUGAUCUUUGAAUACAGUAGCUUUCAGACGCACGAUAUAAAGAUAACCAGAGUCUAAUAAAGCACACAACAGUAGGAAAUUGUUAAAUCAUUAUUCAACCAUUUUGUUCAUUCAUAAGUUUUCAACUUCAUAAAUUUGAAUAUUUUCUGGUUUCUUUCUUCCUCAAUGACAGUAAAUUGAACAUUAUUGGUUUGUGGACAAAACAGCAUUUAUUAUCUUACUUUGUCAAACACUGAUGGACAUUUGUCAGUAUUUUCUGAAGGAAAUAACUAAUCUGAUGUUAAUCAAUGUUCAGAAAACAGUGAGCAAUAAAAAUAGCACAAAUCUGUCGUUAUAUUUAAAAUAACACAAAAUGACAGUUUCCAUGAAUCUAAUGUAAUAAUGUGUUGUCAUAAUUGAAAUUUGAUUUGUAUGUUGUUUUUUGUUUGCUUUAUCUUUGUCUAUCACAUUAAAGUACAUUUAUCAAAACUCACAA